This 332-nucleotide ribosomal RNA is filed under the name uncultured eukaryote. Its description in RNAcentral is "partial 18S ribosomal RNA". It matches the Rfam family "Eukaryotic small subunit ribosomal RNA", at positions 1470 to 1796 of the family's 1831-position model. The record is from RNAcentral.
CCCUUAGAUGUUCUGGGCUGCACGCGCGCUACACUGUCGGAUUCAGCGAGUCGUAUCCUUAACCGAAAGGUUUGGGUAAUCUUUUGAAAGUCCGACGUGAUGGGGAUUGAUCAUUGCAAUUAUUGAUCAUGAACGAGGAAUUCCUAGUAAGCGCGAGUCAUCAGCUCGCGUUGAUUACGUCCCUGCCCUUUGUACACACCGCCCGUCGCUACUACCGAUUGAAUGGUUUAGUGAGAUCUUCGGAUUGGCGCCUACGCGGCUUCUCUGAGGCCACGCUGGAUGCCGAAAAGUUGCUCAAACUGUAUCAUUUAGAGGAAGUAAAAGUCGUAACA